Non-coding RNA from Pelobates cultripes (western spadefoot toad), 594 nucleotides. Lineage: Eukaryota; Metazoa; Chordata; Amphibia; Anura; Pelobatidae. The record is from the annotation of a GenBank genome assembly.
GUAAUCAGAUCAUACUUAGAUAGUUACUGUAGAGAUGUUUGAAGACAACACAAAUCCAUCAUAUUCAAAUGGUCCGAGAUAUUUCUCUGUGCUAACUGAGAUAAUGCUAGACAGCAUCUUGAUUACUGACCUAGCUUAGUAGGUAUACUGUAAGUUGCCCAGAACAUUGGGCAGUGUUUGAUCCACUUUCAGUUUCUGUGUCAAUUGUUUUGCUUAUUUUUCUGCAUCUCCAUAAUCUAUUAAAAAGUGCGGAAUAGAACAAUUUUUAGAACAUGGCAUACCGAGACAUGACCAUGUAUUGGUGGGGGGAGACUACUGCAGUGUGGAAGAUCUGGACAGGAAUUAGCACUAAGCUGUAUAGCUGUCCUUUGUACAGUGGAGGCAGCAGAGAGGCAUUGGUGGAACAGGAGCAGUUGCCAGGUAAUGGAGAGGCUUAACAAGGAGUUAGCACUUGAGAUAAAGACCGUGAUUAAGAACAGAGUCUUUGUAAUAAGUGACUAUAAAGACAAAGCAGUUAUGGAGUUUACUAUGAGUUGUGCACUUGUGAACAAAGUUCAGUUGAAUGAGUCAAUGGUCGUGGAUCAUAAGCUAAGG